RNAcentral lists this ribosomal RNA (396 nucleotides) under uncultured bacterium. RNAcentral describes it as "bacterial SSU rRNA". It matches the Rfam family "Bacterial small subunit ribosomal RNA", at positions 28 to 429 of the family's 1533-position model. The record is from RNAcentral.
GACGAACGCUGGCGGCGUGCUUAACACAUGCAAGUCGAGCGGUAAGGCCCUUCGGGGUACGACGAGCGGCGAACGGGUGAGUAACACGUGGGUGACCUGCCUCUAGCUCUGGGAUAAGCCUGGGAAACUGGGUCUAAUACCGGAUAUGACUCCACGGCGCAUGUUGUGGGGUGGAAAGCCUUGUGUGGCUAGAGAUGGGCCCGCGGCCUAUCAGCUUGUUGGUGGGGUGAUGGCCUACCAAGGCGACGACGGGUAGCCGGCCUGAGAGGGCGACCGGCCACACUGGGACUGAGACACGGCCCAGACUCCUACGGGAGGCAGCAGUGGGGAAUCUUGCGCAAUGGGCGAAAGCCUGACGCAGCGACGCCGCGUGAGGGAUGACGGCCUCGGUGUAAC